RNAcentral lists this ribosomal RNA (823 nucleotides) under uncultured Nitrososphaerota archaeon. RNAcentral's name for it is "bacterial SSU rRNA". It matches the Rfam family "Archaeal small subunit ribosomal RNA", at positions 53 to 880 of the family's 1478-position model. Lineage: Archaea; Thermoproteati; Nitrososphaerota. The record is from RNAcentral.
GCGAGUCUUUGUAGUAAUACAAGGCAGACGGCUCAGUAACACGUAGUCAACCUACCCUAUGGACGAGAAUAAUCUCGGGAAACUGAGCAUAAUUCUCGAUAGAUCAUAAUGCCUGGAAUGGUUUAUGGUUAAAAUGAUUCGUCGCCAUAGGAUGGGACUGUGGCCUAUCAGCUUGUUGGUGAGGUAAUGGCCCACCAAGGCGAUUACAGGUACGGGCUCUGAGAGGAGAAGCCCAGAGAUGGGUACUGAGACACGGACCCAGGCCCUAUGGGGCGCAGCAGGCGAGAAAACUUUGCAAUGUGCGAAAGCACGACAAGGUUAAUCCGAGUGAUUUCUGCUAAAGAAAUCUUUUGUCAGUCAUAAAACCACUGGCGAAUAAGGGGUGGGCAAGUUCUGGUGUCAGCCGCCGCGGUAAAACCAGCACCUCAAGUGGUCAGGAUGAUUAUUGGGCCUAAAGCAUCCGUAGCCGGCUUUGUAAGUUUUCGGUUAAAUCCAUGUGCUCAACACAUGGGCUGCCGAAAAUACUGCAUGGCUAGGGAGUGGGAGAGGUAGACGGUACUCAGUAGGAAGGGGUAAAAUCCUUUGAUCUAUUGAUGACCACCUGUGGCGAAGGCGGUCUACCAGAACACGUUCGACGGUGAGGGAUGAAAGCUGGGGGAGCAAACCGGAUUAGAUACCCGGGUAGUCCCAGCUGUAAACGAUGCAGACUCGAUGAUGCAUUGGCAUAAUAGCCAGUGCAGUGUCGCAGGGAAGCCGUUUAAGUCUGCCGCCUGGGAAGUACGUACGCAAGUAUGAAACUUAAAGGAAUUGGCGGGGGAGCACC